Molecule: long non-coding RNA, 375 nt
Organism: Triticum dicoccoides
Lineage: Eukaryota; Viridiplantae; Streptophyta; Magnoliopsida; Poales; Poaceae
Exons: 3
Source: RefSeq, a predicted model, not a curated record
GUAAGCAGAGAUACCAACCAUCAAAAUUCAGAGAGCAACAAUAUCAAUGAAGACCUGGACCAAACUUUUCAUGGCAAUGUUUCUAAAGUUCAGGCCUCUAACAUUGAUUUAACAAAACCAUAUGCAUCAGGUAGCAUGUUGCUUGAUGGUAUCAGAAAAAUGCUGCAAAAGAGUGAUGAAAGGAAACAGAGGAGGAAUGUUUUGAAGGAGCAAAGCAGAAAGAGGUCAAGGGCUCAGAUGGGUGUUUGCAUAAAGGAAGAGCAAGAAAAAGAACGCCUACUUUUCCUUUGUCUUUUUUUGGCAAGCUUGUUUGACAAGAAAAGUGCACAGACCUAAACUGGCACAAGGCCAACAUCUGUUCCCAAUCCUUUUAUU